This is a non-coding RNA of Myotis lucifugus (little brown bat), 75 nucleotides long. Lineage: Eukaryota; Metazoa; Chordata; Mammalia; Chiroptera; Vespertilionidae. The record is from Rfam.
GGUGGUUCUUGGGUGAUGCAACCUGGAAUCGGCCUCCCUUCUCUCUGGUUCCCGGUGUGUCACCCGAGAACCACU